RNAcentral lists this ribosomal RNA (22 nucleotides) under Globisporangium splendens. Its description in RNAcentral is "partial 28S ribosomal RNA". The record is from RNAcentral. Lineage: Eukaryota; Oomycota; Peronosporomycetes; Pythiales; Pythiaceae.
UUGGACCUGAUAUCAGACAGAC